CGGGUUCUUACUUUCUUGCGGAAGCGAAUGCCGGCCGAGUGCCACUUCACUGUGGUGCGAAGCGAACUACGGAGUUUCUACGCUCCUUAAGGCACGUCCGCAGAAGUUACUGUGAGUAAAGCAGAGUGCUCAAAGCACCCAACUCGCUUGGGAGAAUGUUAAAGCAUAGAAUAACAAGGGAUCGACCACGUUGUGGAGUCUUAUUGUUGGUUUUCAAGCCGCCGUGCGACAAUUUAGAGCAGGUGUCUUGUGUGGAUGGGCGCAGUCCGCAAGGGCUCGCUCGCUGCAUCUAAGCCCUGCUCAUUGGGAUCAAUAGGAGCGCGGGGAGCGAUCAGUACUCCCGGGUGAGAGGUGAAAUUCAUAGACCCCGGGAAGACUAACAUCAGCGAAAGCCGUUCGCUAUCGCGCUUUCAUUAAUCAAGAACGAGAGAAAGGGGAUCGAAGAUGAUCAGAUACCGUCGUAGUCCUUUCCGUAAAUGAUGCAGACUAGGGAUCGGCCGCA
Molecule: ribosomal RNA, 502 nt
Filed under: uncultured eukaryote
Lineage: Eukaryota
Description: bacterial SSU rRNA
Rfam family: Eukaryotic small subunit ribosomal RNA
Source: RNAcentral